GACGAACGCUGGCGGCGUGCUUAACACAUGCAAGUCGAACGGAAAGGCCCUGCUUUUGUGGGGUGCUCGAGUGGCGAACGGGUGAGUAACACGUGAGUAACCUGCCCUUGACUUUGGGAUAACUUCAGGAAACUGGGGCUAAUACCGGAUAGGAGCUCCUGCUGCAUGGUGGGGGUUGGAAAGUUUCGGCGGUUGGGGAUGGACUCGCGGCUUAUCAGCUUGUUGGUGGGGUAGUGGCUUACCAAGGCUUUGACGGGUAGCCGGCCUGAGAGGGUGACCGGCCACAUUGGGACUGCGAUACGGACCAGACUCCUACGGGAGGCAGCAGUGGGGAAUAUUGCACAAUGGGCGGAAGCCUGAUGAAGAAACGCCGCGUGCGGGAUGACGGCCUUCGGGUUGUAAACCGCUUUCGCCUGUGACGAAGCGUGAGUGACGGUAAUGGGUAAAGAAGCACCGGCUAACUACGUG
This 468-nucleotide ribosomal RNA is filed under the name uncultured bacterium. RNAcentral's name for it is "partial 16S ribosomal RNA". It matches the Rfam family "Bacterial small subunit ribosomal RNA", at positions 28 to 507 of the family's 1533-position model. The record is from RNAcentral.